Molecule: ribosomal RNA, 166 nt
Filed under: Rhynchostomataceae sp.
Lineage: Eukaryota; Fungi; Ascomycota; Eurotiomycetes; Pyrenulales; Rhynchostomataceae
Description: partial large subunit ribosomal RNA
Rfam family: Eukaryotic large subunit ribosomal RNA
Source: RNAcentral
CGGCAACAGCUCAAAUUUAAAAUCUGGCCUUUUCGGGGGUCCGAGUUGUAAUUUGUAGAGGACGUUUCGGGCAAGGCUGCGGUUUAAAUCCCUUGGAACAGGGUGUCAGAGAGGGUGAGAGUCCCGUCUUUAGCCGUGCGCCGCGCCCGGGUGAAACUCCUUCGAC